AUUGAACGCUGGCGGCAGGCCUAACACAUGCAAGUCGAACGGUAACAGGAAACAGCUUGCUGUUUCGCUGACGAGUGGCGGACGGGUGAGUAAUGUCUGGGAAACUGCCUGAUGGAGAGGGAUAACUACUGGAAACGGUAGCUAAUACCGCAUAACGUCGCAAGACCAAAGAGGGGGACCUUGGGGCCUCUUGCCAUCGGAUGUGCCCAGAUGGGAUUAGCUAGUAGGUGGGGUAACGGCUCACCUAGGCGACGAUCCCUAGCUGGUCUGAGAGGAUGACCAGCCACACUGGAACUGAGACGCGGUCCAGACUCCUACGGGAGGCAGCAGUGGGGAAUAUUGCACAAUGGGCGCAAGCCUGAUGCAGCCAUGCCGCGUGUAUGAAGAAGGCCUUCGGGUUGUAAAGUACUUUCAGCGGGGAGGAAGGGAGUAAAGUCAAUACCUUUGCUCAUUGACGUUACCCGCAGAAGAAGCACCGGCUAACCCCGUGCCAGCCGCCGCAGUAA
Molecule: ribosomal RNA, 506 nt
Filed under: uncultured bacterium
Lineage: Bacteria
Description: partial 16S ribosomal RNA
Rfam family: Bacterial small subunit ribosomal RNA
Source: RNAcentral